CAAGAAAUAGUUUAAUUAGAAUUUCAGUUUUGGGUACUGAUGGUGUGGCUGUUAUGCUUCUUUCUUGA
This 68-nucleotide transfer RNA is filed under the name Echimys chrysurus (White-faced spiny tree-rat). RNAcentral's name for it is "tRNA-Pro". RNAcentral also lists the same sequence under 2 other names. The record is from RNAcentral. Lineage: Eukaryota; Metazoa; Chordata; Mammalia; Rodentia; Echimyidae.